GACGAACCGUCCAACCGUUAUUCGGAAUCACUGGGCUUAAAGGGCGCGUAGGCGGCCGAGCGGGUCGCGUGUGAAAUCCUCCAGCUUAACUGGAGAACUGCCCUCGAUACCACUGCGGCUCGAGGAAGGAAGGGGCAAUCGGAACUGUCGGUGGAGCGGUGAAAUGCGUUGAUAUCAGGAGGAACACCUGUGGUGUAGACAGCUUGAUGGACCAUCACUGACGCUGAGGCACGAAAGCGUGGGUAGCAAACAGG
This 254-nucleotide ribosomal RNA is filed under the name uncultured bacterium. RNAcentral describes it as "partial 16S ribosomal RNA". It matches the Rfam family "Bacterial small subunit ribosomal RNA", at positions 524 to 776 of the family's 1533-position model. The record is from RNAcentral.